AACGAGCGCUGGCGGCAUGCCUAACACAUGCAAGUCGAACGAGACCUUCGGGUCUAGUGGCGCACGGGUGCGUAACGCGUGGGAAUCUGCCCUUGGGUUCGGAAUAACAGUUAGAAAUGACUGCUAAUACCGGAUGAUGUCUUCGGACCAAAGAUUUAUCGCCCAGGGAUGAGCCCGCGUAGGAUUAGCUAGUUGGUGGGGUAAAGGCCUACCAAGGCGACGAUCCUUAGCUGGUCUGAGAGGAUGAUCAGCCACACUGGGACUGAGACACGGCCCAGACUCCUACGGGAGGCAGCAGUGGGGAAUAUUGGACAAUGGCGAAAGCCUGAUCCAGCAAUGCCGCGUGAGUGAUGAAGGCCUUAGGGUUGUAAAGCUCUUUUACCCGGGAUGAUAAUGACAGUACCGGGAGAAUAAGCCCCGGCUAACUCCGUGCCAGCAGCCGCGGUAAU
This 449-nucleotide ribosomal RNA is filed under the name uncultured bacterium. Its description in RNAcentral is "bacterial SSU rRNA". It matches the Rfam family "Bacterial small subunit ribosomal RNA", at positions 29 to 524 of the family's 1533-position model. The record is from RNAcentral.